GACGAACGCUGGCGGCGUGCUUAACACAUGCAAGUCGAACGCUGAAGACCUGGCUUUUGUUGGGUUGGAUGAGUGGCGAACGGGUGAGUAACACGUGAGUAACCUGCCCUCUUCUUUGGGAUAACGCCCGGAAACGGGUGCUAAUACUGGAUAUUCACUGAUCUUCGCAUGGGGGUUGGUGGAAAGGUUUGUUCUGGUGGGGGAUGGGCUCGCGGCCUAUCAGCUUGUUGGUGGGGUGAUGGCCUACCAAGGCUUUGACGGGUAGCCGGCCUGAGAGGGUGACCGGUCACAUUGGGACUGAGAUACGGCCCAGACUCCUACGGGAGGCAGCAGUGGGGAAUAUUGCACAAUGGGCGAAAGACUGAUGCAGCGACGCCGCGUGAGGGAUGGAGGCCUUCGGGUUGUAAACCUCUUUCGCUCAUGGUCAAGCCGCAACUGUGGGUUGUGGUGAGGGUAGUGGGUAAAGAAGCGCCGGCUAACUACGUG
Molecule: ribosomal RNA, 486 nt
Filed under: uncultured bacterium
Lineage: Bacteria
Description: partial 16S ribosomal RNA
Rfam family: Bacterial small subunit ribosomal RNA
Source: RNAcentral